GGAAGACGGAGUUAUCUGAGAAAAGGUCUGCAUUAGGGAGAAAAUGGAGCCAUGUCUUUUCAAGAACCAGGGAACCAGACAGAUUAUUCUUCUAGCUCUGGCAUUUGAUACCUACAGAGCUCAUAUUUCAGCUUUUACCAAGGUUAUAGGAACGCCUAAAGCUGAGACCUUUGACUGCUGGAAUUGCAGAAAGGACACUGUGGAAGAAAGCAUAUUUGAAACUUCUUAGCUGAUGAUUGUUUAAACACCAUCUUCCAGCUGUUUCAU
Molecule: long non-coding RNA, 267 nt
Organism: Homo sapiens (human)
Lineage: Eukaryota; Metazoa; Chordata; Mammalia; Primates; Hominidae
Exons: 4
Source: RefSeq, a predicted model, not a curated record